This 287-nucleotide unclassified non-coding RNA is filed under the name Hevea brasiliensis (rubber tree). The record is from RNAcentral. Lineage: Eukaryota; Viridiplantae; Streptophyta; Magnoliopsida; Malpighiales; Euphorbiaceae.
GAUCAAAAGGCAUUGCCAAAUAAAGAAAAACCACAUUACAUAAAUUACAGCAUAACUAUCACUUACUAAGAUACAAACAGCACAGGCAUGUUUAGCUCAUAGUAAUCUUGGCUUCCAUGUAAAAUCAGCAACUAAGAUACAGACAGGAAAUGCAUGUUUAACUUAUAGCAAAUUGUUAACAUAUAUUACAGGACUUGCUCAAACAAGGCAGAAAAGCAACUUAUAUUUGUUCAUUUUGUUUUCUUGAAAAAUCAAGGAACAAUUUGAACUUGUUUAUCUGCUUGACU